Molecule: ribosomal RNA, 243 nt
Filed under: Thalassionema nitzschioides
Lineage: Eukaryota; Bacillariophyta; Fragilariophyceae; Thalassionematales; Thalassionemataceae
Description: partial Bacterial small subunit ribosomal RNA
Rfam family: Bacterial small subunit ribosomal RNA
Source: RNAcentral
GAAGUAUGUUAUUUAAUUCGAUCAUCCUCGAAAAACCUUACCACAAUUUGAAUCAUAUUUAUUUUUGAUUUAAACUUUAAGAUAAAUAUUACAAGUGUUGCACGGCUGUUUUAAGUUAAUGUCGUGAGACUUUGGUUAGAUCCAUUAAAUUAACGUAAACCCUUGCUUUAUUUUACAUAUAUAGAGCAGUUCACCAAUUUAUUGGAUAUGAUAAUAGGGAUUAAGACAAGUCAUCAUGACCUU